CGCCCGGGGACCAAGCGGCAGCACGCCAUCCACAUCAUCGACUUCGGGCUGGCCAAGGAGUACAUCGACCCCGAGACCAAGAAGCACAUCCCGUACCGCGAGCACAAGAGCCUGACGGGCACGGCGCGCUACAUGAGCAUCAACACGCACCUGGGCAAGGGUGAGCUGCGCGCGCGCGGCGGGGGGCGGGCGCCCGGACCCCGCUGAGGCUGCGCCCCUGUCCCCGCAGAGCAGAGCCGCCGCGACGACCUGGAGGCGCUGGGCCACAUGUUCAUGUACUUCCUGCGCGGCAGCCUCCCCUGGCAGGGGCUCAAGGUGGGCGAGGGGGCCGGGCAGGCGGGCAGGGGCGCAGGGCGGGAGCAAGGCUGACCACGGACCCCCGCAGGCCGACACGCUCAAGGAGCGGUACCAGAAGAUCGGGGACACCAAGCGCGCCACGCCCAUCGAGGUGCUCUGUGAGAACUUCCCAGAGGAGAUGGCCACGUACCUCCGCUACGUGCGGCGCCUGGACUUCUUCGAGAAGCCCGACUAUGACUACCUGCGGAAGCUCUUCACCGAUCUCUUCGACCGCAGCGGCUUCGUGUUCGACUAUGAGUACGACUGGGCCGGGAAGCCCCUGCCGACCCCCAUCGGCACCGUCCACACCGACCUGCCCUCCCAGCCUCAGCUCCGGGACAAAGCCCAGCCGCACAGCAAAAACCAGGUGAGGCCCGGGCGGGACCGACGCCCCAGGGAGGGGCAUGGGCGGCCAGCGUGACCCCCUACUGCCCCCGCCAGGCGCUGAACUCCACCAACGGGGAGCUGAAUGCGGACGACCCCACUGCCGGCCACUCCAACGCCCCCAUCACGGCGCCUGCAGAGGUGGAGGUGGCCGAUGAAACCAACCGGCCCCAUUAGCGU
RNAcentral lists this small RNA (900 nucleotides) under Pongo abelii (Sumatran orangutan). RNAcentral describes it as "retained intron". Lineage: Eukaryota; Metazoa; Chordata; Mammalia; Primates; Hominidae. The record is from RNAcentral.